Molecule: ribosomal RNA, 253 nt
Filed under: uncultured bacterium
Lineage: Bacteria
Description: partial 16S ribosomal RNA
Rfam family: Bacterial small subunit ribosomal RNA
Source: RNAcentral
UACAGAGGGUGCAAGCGUUGUUCGGAAUUACUGGGCGUAAAGCGCGUGUAGGCUGCUGCGUAAGUCGGAUGUGAAAGCCCUUGGCUUAACCAAGGAAGUGCACCCGAUACUGCGUAGCUUGAGUGUCGGAGGGGAUGGCGGAAUUCCCGGUGUAGAGGUGAAAUUCGUAGAUAUCGGGAGGAACACCUGUGGCGAAGGCGGCCAUCUGGACGACAACUGACGCUGAGACGCGAAAGCGUGGGGAGCAAACAGG